Long non-coding RNA from Pteropus alecto (black flying fox), 1805 nucleotides. RefSeq lists it as uncharacterized. The transcript has 2 exons. The record is from RefSeq and is a predicted model, not a curated record. NCBI's taxonomy places the organism in Eukaryota, Metazoa, Chordata, Mammalia, Chiroptera, Pteropodidae.
AGCGCAGGGCAGCGACUGGGCGGGACCGCGGAACCAGGCAGCUGAGCUCCACCUCGCCGCCCUCUACCGCCUGCUCCCGGACCUCCACCACGGGAUUCUCUGGGGCCACUGGUGCAGGGAGAAGCGGGGAAGAGAGAGGCUGGGGUCCAGGAGAUGGACUCUAAUGGGGCAACGCAGGGCACACUGGGAACUCGGAGCAAAGAGAGACCAAGACGGCCUAGGGAGAUGGAUGAUCAGAGAAGGUUCUGGAAGAAAGCUUCAUUGGAUUCAGAUCUUGAGUAAAUAGGAAUUCACCAGGUAUGGGAAACUGCUCUGUGUUCACCAAACCCCAUCUUUCACACCUGGGCACAUGUUGUAGCUUGUCUGCAUGGAUAGCCUCAGGAGUCUUCCCAUCCCUGUACAUGACCUUGGUAAGGUGAUUUUGCUGCCCCCUCUAUUAAGAAGCCACUCUGUCCUUUGACUCUGGGAAGGACUUGUGACUUCUUUGAUGAAUAGAAUUUGCUAGAAGUGAUAUUGGAUGAGUUCUGGAGCCUCGGCCUCAAGGAACCUUGCUUCCCUGAGACUUAUCAGGUGAAGACGCACAGACUAGUUUCCUUGAGGACGAAGGACCACAUGGAGAGAGAAGCCCAGCCAGCCUCCAGCACCAAUCGCCAGCCAUAUGAGUGAGGCCAUCCUGGACCAUCCAGCCCCAGUGAGACCACUAGGUGAAUGCAGCCACAUGAGUGACCCCGGUAGGGACCAAGAGAAGAACUGUCCAAGUGAUCCAGUCCAAACUGCUGACCCCCAGAGUCAUGAGCAAAUAACAUGAUUGUUUAAAGCCACUGAGUCUGGGUGGUCUGUUAACACCACUAAUUUGGGUACAACAGUACCGGUUAGUACUACACCCAAUUAGGCUACUUUUCCCAGGACCCUUGUACUUAAGUGAGGUCAAGUGAUCGAAUUCUGGUCAAUGGGAUGUAGGUGGAAGAGAGAAACACUUCUUCCAGCCUGGCUCAUCACACUCACAUCCUUCUUGCUGGCUGAAUGAAGAGGACUACAGGGAGCCUAGAGUAGAACCGGAUCACAAGCUGGAAGGAGUCCAGGGGCCUGACUCACUACCCCCUGUGACUUGCCUGCCCAGGACUGUAAUGUGAGCCAGAACUACACUUUUCUGUUAAGCCUUUGAGAUUUCAUGGCUGUUUGUUACAGCAGUUAACCUACCCUGAUUAAUCCAUCAGAAGAACAAGAUAGGCGAUCAGUAAGGGGGUGUUUCCAGCAGAGGAAAUAGCCUAGAAUAAAGCUCGAAGCUGAGAUUAAUCAUCAUCGGCAUCACCAGCAUCAUCGUCACUGUCAUCUUCAAAAUAUCAAUCACCACAAUAGCUGUUCAUUAGGCACUUGUUUGUGCCAGGCUCUGUGCUCAGGACAUUACCUAUAUAAUUUCCAUGUAAUCAUCACAAUAUCCAAAUAAGGUAGACGCUAUUAUCAAUCCUCAAUUUUUUUAACAAUUCCUAUUUCAUAGGUGAGAAAAUUUGUCCAGAGAGAGAAAACGACUUGCCCAAGGUCACAGCCUGAGAGUCGUAGAGCGAGGAUCUGCAUCCGAAUCUCUCUGAUUCUGUAUCCUGUGUCUACAUUCACUCGUGGCUAUCUGGGUGCAAAGCGUUCAGCAUUGGUGAGGGGGUGUGGGAUGUGCUAGUUGAGGGCCUCAGAUGCCAAGCUAGGAGAUUAGCUUUUAUUCUGAAAGCCAGUGGAGGUUUUGAAGCACAAAAAAAGCCAUGAUCAAUCAGAUCUGGUUAUUUACCUUUAAAUAUUGGAUAACUAUUACUCGA